This 506-nucleotide ribosomal RNA is filed under the name uncultured bacterium. RNAcentral describes it as "partial 16S ribosomal RNA". It matches the Rfam family "Bacterial small subunit ribosomal RNA", at positions 30 to 523 of the family's 1533-position model. The record is from RNAcentral.
AUUGAACGCUGGCGGCAUGCCUAACACAUGCAAGUCGAACGGCAGCACGGUCUAGCUUGCUAGAUGGGUGGCGAGUGGUGCACGGGUGAGUAACGCGUAGGAAUAUGCCUUGAAGUGGGGGAUAACUUGGGGAAACUCAAGCUAAUACCGCAUAAGCUCUUAGGAGGAAAGCUGGGGACCGUAAGGCCUGGCGCUUCAAGAUUAGCCUGCGUCCGAUUAGCUAGUUGGUGGGGUAAGGGCCUACCAAGGCGACGAUCGGUAGCUGGUCUGAGAGGAUGGCCAGCCACACUGGGACUGAGACACGGCCCAGACUCCUACGGGAGGCAGCAGUGGGGAAUAUUGGACAAUGGGGGCAACCCUGAUCCAGCAAUGCCGCGUGUGUGAAGAAGGCCUGAGGGUUGUAAAGCACUUUCAGUGGGGAGGAGGAUUGACAGGUUAAGAGCUAGUUAAUUGGACGUUACCCACAGAAGAAGCACCGGCUAACUCCGUGCCAGCCGCCGCAGUAA